AAGCAAAUCAAAUUUGUAAUUAUGGCAUAAUAGAUAAGUGCAGUAAUCAUGUGAUAAAUAUAAAUUCAGACGUACAGAGAGCUACAAUUUUUAAGAGAAUACAAUGGUAAGCUUUGCGUGUACUGAUGCUAAAUCAUCACCAACACACUAUCAACAGGGUAGGAGACAUUAUUGGUAAAGGUCAUCUGACGUUAACUACAAAUCUUUAACGAAAGAAGUCACUAUCGUCUAUCAAAUUCUGAAGGGAAAAAAAGAAACAAAAACAUGGGGAGAAGAUGAAGCAAAAACCAGCUCUAUGUCCUCACUUUGUUGCUGAGUUGAUUAUUAGAAAAUGCCAGAAUAGCGCCGAGUAUGGUCACACACACACACACACACACACACACACACACACACACACACACACACACACACACACACACAUACAUUAUAUAUGGUGCUAUCUGCUACUUCAAAGGAACAUGUGUGGGAUAGAUGCGCACAGGUGGGAAUCAAGGGUGUCACAAGAAAACUGCUCUUGUGCAAACUGCUCUUGUGCAAGGAGGCUGAGGAAUUUCAGAGAGUCCUACAAAAUAGCUGGCGAAGGCUUUUGAGGUAAUACUACUGGAAAAAUAAACUUGGAGGCGCAAAACUGUCUCGAGCUUGCAGUCGGGCCAUCUUCAUUGGACUUCCUUAGAGAGGACAUCACAACUUUAGUUGAUGAAACAGCUAGCAGCUAACCUUGUAAUCUGUGGCAGUUUCAAUUAUGCAAUAUACGUUAGUUUGCCGUUCAAUUCUUGGCUCACGCUAUAGUGAAAUUGAUCAUAUAGUGGUACUAUUGGUCCCAAAAUUCUUCUCAAUCUUGCAAUAGAUAGUGGUACUGCUGGCUUCUUCUUUGAAAGGAACUCUUCUGGUUACACUCCACAUAGCAGUCAUAUGCAUGAAUAUUUUCUACAGGCAUUCUGUCCAAGUAAACCAUAUUAAGCUCAUCUUCCAGCACUUGGGUAGAGAACAUUUAUCAUAAAAUCCGAUUGAUCUAUAUUAAGGGCAUUUAUAAUUUUACAAGUAAAGUGGAUAAAAGACUAAGCGGUUUACUGAAACCUCAGUUUUCAGAGCCAAAAAGAUAUAUAGAGUAGUUAUUUUUCAGCUUUAACAAUAGUUAAACUCAAAUUCUAAAGAAACACCCUUCCACAUCAGGAGGUAUAAGAACUCUGUCCCUCUUGGGACUAUAAGCACCAAUAUUUUCUAAAUUUUAAUCCAUCAAAAAUCAAUAUGCGGAGCAUUUCUAAUUUUCGAAUCAAAGGGUAUAUUAGAGCAGGAGAAAUAAUAAAAAUUUACAAAUAUACAACCAACUUGAAGACAGCUUAUAUGGACAUUUACACACUUGUAAGUACUUAUAUAAAGAAAUUAUAGUAAUCAGAAAACAUGUUAUACGAUGAGCCACCCGGAGAUCACUAUCAAGAAAACCAUGCAUCUGAAUUAUUAGUUGAUUACAGAACAUCAUAGGAGUAUUACUUAUCUAGGUGCUGCAGAGACCGCUCAGUGAAUCAAUGAGUGUGCCAACAUGGAAGAGAACAACUUAGUUUUAGAAGCAAUAUAUCAUCAAAUAAACCCAAAAAAGAAGAAUCAUAUUCAUUUAUACUAUGAAAAUAGAGAGGCAAGCAAGAAGUUCAAAUAUCACAAGUAUAACAUUCAGUCACCAUUUAGUCUUAUUAGUUAUUACACACUGUAAGUUUAUGGUAUCUGGCACCGAUCAGAAAAAAGUUUCAUGAUAUCUGGAAGAAAGAAAAAAAUUCUCUUUAAUUGGUCAAACUCGUAGUAUGUUAUAAUUUUUGUCCAAAGAAGCAACCACAAUCAAGAUUAUUUAAAAGCAACAGUCUUUACAAAAUUGGCUUCAAACAUCAUACGUUAACAGUCCUUAGAUUCUUCUAAUAACAAUCAUUAUAGUAAAUAGAAAGAUUCACCCAUAAGUGAACAUGAUCAAGCACAUCUUUCAAAUAUAUACAAUUUUGUUCUUAACUGAGAUUUGAUUUUGAUAAGUUACAGUUGACCAAAGAUCCCACUUGUGGGAUUAUAUUGGGUAUGUUGUUGUUGUACAGUUGACCAAAGUCUAAAGAGACUAAUCCAUACUCAUAAGAAAUUGAGUCGAUUCGCAUGCCCAGAAUCACAUUUAUCCUUCACGGUUUGUGAUAUUGCAAGUCCAUAAUGAAUAGAAUCAUUAACAAUUUGUUUUUUCCCGUCCACAAGAGAGGCACACUUUUAGAUACAACAACAACAUACCCAGUAGAAUCCCACAUCGUGGGGUUUGGGAGGGUAGUGUGUACGCAGACCUUACCCCUACCUUGUGAGGAGAAGCACAUUUUUAGAUGUCUAACAUUUUAUAUAAACCACUAUACCUAUAUAUCUUCUCAUCAUCCAUUACCUAAAAAUUUGCUAGCAGUGUCCUUGUCUUACAAACAUAAGUUAGAAUAAAGACCCAACAUAUGACUCCUUAAUGAAAGCUUAAGGAAUUUCCAUUAUACUACAAUUAUUAUCUACAAUAAUAUAAAUGAUAUCUAGAUUGUUCAUUCUUAAGCAGGGCCAUCUAGAAAGAAUAUAUUGAUUAUCUUUUUCUAAAGCAAAAGACGAACUGCACUAAUUUAAAUGAGUAUUUUAGAAAAAUUUAAAAGAUGAUGCACGUAUAAAUGCGUCAGGUUGAGUCGAAGCCAGUAAGAUAGGUACAAAAUUUUAAAUCUUUAGGAAUCAAAAUCUUGCAGAGUUUUUGAAGUAGCUAUUAACUUUGGGGAAUAAAAAGAAGAAAAAGAAGGAGAAAGAAAGAAGCAAACUUUUUUCCUCAAGUGCGGUGGUAGGAGCAAAUGCAAUUGAUAAUUUCCACGGUAAAAAAUCUAGAUUUACCUCUUGCAGACAUAUCAUCAAACACCAUGGCUGUAUAGUUCACUUCAACAUUCCUGUCAUUUUUUAUACAUCAGAUUUUCCGAUUUAAUUCUGUAUUCAUAAAGGACAAUAUAAUGUGCAGAUCAGGCACAAUUAGUAACAUCCAUGUACAAUUCUAGCAAGAGAGUAUUCAAAUAGAAUAGCAAGCUAACAUAUUGACACGAGAUUAUUUUAUUACAAAUAAAGAAAGCGCAAUGAACAAAUAAAGAUUGCAGAAAAUAACUCUAAAAAUAGAGAUGCCACACCAAAUACAAAUAGAGGAAAAUGGAAAAAUCUCUGGAGAUCUCUAAAAGAAUGAACACCCAAGAAAAAAAAAAGACAUCCAUUAUACUAUAAUCGGCCAAGCACAUACAUAUUAACACUCUCAUUCCACUAAAGAACCUAAUUUUAAGUAUUGUAGAGUUCUCAUGCUAAAAGUCAUCAUCGCAGACCCAUCAACAAAUUCACCAGAAUUAAACAAAAGUAAAUCACACAGCAGAGAUAACAUAGAACUGAAAUUAAGAAUUUAGCAAUUUGAAAAAGAAAUCCUCAAUCAAAGAAGGACAUGCACGAGUUUUGCUGUACAAAUAGGAAGCAAGGAACUCCACAAUUUACCUUUUCCAAUCUAUACAGAAAAGAGGCAUGCCAUAAAAUACCAUCUCAGCCCAUCAACAGAAAAUUUUUAAACUUUUUCAGAGUAAAGAACAGCGAGAAUAGAUCCCGCACUGAAAGGAAGCUUCGAAAAAAGUUAGCAAAUUCACCCAAAGAGAGAUGACAUUUUGAAGCUGUGAAGGAGAAAGGUAAUUCCAGAGAGAGCAGCGAAAGGAAGAGAAUUAGAAGAACAAAGGAG
Molecule: long non-coding RNA, 3739 nt
Filed under: Nicotiana tabacum (common tobacco)
Lineage: Eukaryota; Viridiplantae; Streptophyta; Magnoliopsida; Solanales; Solanaceae
Description: long non-coding RNA (NTAB_LNC019153)
Source: RNAcentral